This is a non-coding RNA of Pelobates cultripes (western spadefoot toad), 235 nucleotides long. NCBI's taxonomy places the organism in Eukaryota, Metazoa, Chordata, Amphibia, Anura, Pelobatidae. The record is from the annotation of a GenBank genome assembly.
CUUUUUCCAGAGCUGAGACACCGCUGGCGCUGCUCAACUCUCAGCCUCUCACUACAUCAUCAAGGAGGCAUUGCAUCCUCCAAUGAUGGUUCAUAGAGGAGCAUUGGGGACCUGAUGUGCAUGCAGAGCGACCAUUGUGUGCGCAUUCACUCUUCCCCAUAGGAAAGCAUUGUAUUUAAUAUUUAGAUAUUUUCUUAACUUGUGAAUGGUAGCAUGCACAGAUGGUUUUGUGGUG